Molecule: ribosomal RNA, 764 nt
Filed under: uncultured bacterium
Lineage: Bacteria
Description: bacterial SSU rRNA
Rfam family: Bacterial small subunit ribosomal RNA
Source: RNAcentral
CGUGGGAAUAUACCCAGUUCUAAGGAAUAGCCACUGGAAACGGUGAGUAAUACCUUAUACGCCCUUCGGGGGAAAGAUUUAUCGGAAUUGGAUUAGCCCGCGUUAGAUUAGAUAGUUGGUGGGGUAAUGGCCUACCAAGACUAUGAUCAAUAGCUGAUUUGAGAGGAUGAUCAGCCACAUUGGGACUGAGACACGGCCCAAACUCCUACGGGAGGCAGCAGUGGGGAAUCUUGCACAAUGGAGGAAACUCUGAUGCAGCGAUGCCGCGUGAGUGAAGAAGGCCCUUGGGUUGUAAAGCUCUUUCGUCGGGGAAGAAAAUGACUGUACCCGAAUAAGAAGGUCCGGCUAACUUCGUGCCAGCAGCCGCGGUAAUACGAAGGGACCUAGCGUAGUUCGGAAUUACUGGGCUUAAAGAGUUCGUAGGUGGUUGAAAAAGUUAGUGGUGAAAUCCCAGAGCUUAACUCUGGAACUGCCAUUAAAACUUUUCAGCUAGAGUAUGAUAGAGGAAAGCAGAAUUUCUAGUGUAGAGGUGAAAUUCGUAGAUAUUAGAAAGAAUACCAAUUGCGAAGGCAGCUUUCUGGAUCAUUACUGACACUGAGGAACGAAAGCAUGGGUAGCGAAGAGGAUUAGAUACCCUCGUAGUCCAUGCCGUAAACGAUGUGUGUUAGACGUUGGAAAUUUAUUUUCAGUGUCGCAGGGAAACCGAUAAAACACACCGCCUGGGGAGUACGACCGCAAGGUUAAAACUCAAAUGAAUUGACGGG